GAUGAACGCUGGCGGUCUGCUUAACACAUGCAAGUCGAACGAACUCUUCGGAGUGAGUGGCGGACGGGUGAGUAACGCGUGAGAAUCUGCCUGUGGGUCGGGGACAACCACUGGAAACGGUGGCUAAUACCGGAUGAGCCGAAAGGUAAAAAAUUUAUUGCCCACAGAUGAGCUCGCGUCUGAUUAGCUAGUUGGUAAGGUAAAAGCGUACCAGGGCGACGAUCAGUAGCUGGUCUGAGAGGAUGAGCAGCCACACUGGGACUGAGACACGGCCCAGACUCCUACGGGAGGCAGCAGUGGGGAAUUUUCCGCAAUGGGCGAAAGCCUGACGGAGCAAGACCGCGUGGGGGAGGAAGGUUUUUGGAUCGUAAACCCCUUUUGUCAAGGAAGAAGUUCUGACGGUACUUGACGAAUAAGCCUUGGCUAACUCCGUGCCAGCAGCCGCGGUAAUACGGAGGAGGCAAGCGUUAUCCGGAAUGAUUGGGCGUAAAGCGUCUGUAGGUGGCCAGCUAAGUCUGCUGUUAAAGAUCACAGCUCA
Molecule: ribosomal RNA, 538 nt
Filed under: uncultured bacterium
Lineage: Bacteria
Description: bacterial SSU rRNA
Rfam family: Bacterial small subunit ribosomal RNA
Source: RNAcentral